This 83-nucleotide transfer RNA is filed under the name Opitutaceae bacterium BACL24 MAG-120322-bin51. RNAcentral's name for it is "tRNA-Leu". It matches the Rfam family "tRNA". From Rfam's summary of the family: Transfer RNA (tRNA) molecules are approximately 80 nucleotides in length. Their secondary structure includes four short double-helical elements and three loops (D, anti-codon, and T loops). Further hydrogen bonds mediate the characteristic L-shaped molecular structure. tRNAs have two regions of fundamental functional importance: the anti-codon, which is responsible for specific mRNA codon recognition, and the 3' end, to which the tRNAs corresponding amino acid is attached (by aminoacyl-tRNA synthetases). tRNAs cope with the degeneracy of the genetic code in two manners: having more than one tRNA (with a specific anti-codon) for a particular amino acid; and 'wobble' base-pairing, i.e. permitting non-standard base-pairing at the 3rd anti-codon position. Lineage: Bacteria; Pseudomonadati; Verrucomicrobiota; Opitutia; Opitutales; Opitutaceae. The record is from RNAcentral.
GCCCGGGUGGUGGAAUGGUAGACACUGGGGACUUAAAAUCCCUUGCCAGUAAUGGCGUGCGGGUUCGACUCCCGCCUCGGGCA